RNAcentral lists this long non-coding RNA (406 nucleotides) under Musa acuminata (dwarf banana). Its description in RNAcentral is "long non-coding RNA (MACU_LNC005482)". Lineage: Eukaryota; Viridiplantae; Streptophyta; Magnoliopsida; Zingiberales; Musaceae. The record is from RNAcentral.
UCGUUCUUUGUAAUUUAAUUUUAUACAAUGAUCAAUUCUUUGUGCACAGGAUUGGGUACAGUAUGAUUGCUGAUGCAGAGGAGAGAGGGCUUAUCCAACCUGGGAAGGUAAGCCAUUUUUCAUUUUAAUUAAUCUGUUUCAUCAAUUAUAAUUGAAGCAAAGGCUGGCAAACCAAAAUCCAAAAUAUACACAAUGCAUGAUCUUUGAGGAAAUCAAUGAGCUGUAGGUUAUUACCUGUGUCUUUAACAAUUUCGUUUACAGAAGAAGAUUUGCCAUAAAUGGAAGCCAUAAGACAUGCCAUCUAUCUUGCUUUUACAAAUUACAUUGUAGAUUAUAUGUUCUAAUUAUAUAGGGCAUUGCAACUUAUUGUUCUUAAUUCAAAUACUUGAUAAUUGGAAAUGGCUGA